GAGUCAGUAGGUUGGUCGUGCCACCGGUACGUACUGGUCCCACUGAUUCCUCCUUCCUGAAGAACCGUAAUGCCAUUAAUUUGGUGUUGCGGGGAAACAGGACUGUUACUUUGAAAAAAUUAGAGUGUUUAAAGCAAGCUAACGCUUGAAUACAUUAGCAUGGAAUAAUGAAAUAGGACGAUCGAUCCUAUUUUGUUGGUUUCUAGGAUUGACGUA
This 216-nucleotide ribosomal RNA is filed under the name Glomeromycotina sp. RNAcentral's name for it is "partial small subunit ribosomal RNA". The stretch from base 44 to 216 matches the Rfam family "Eukaryotic small subunit ribosomal RNA", at positions 690 to 864 of the family's 1831-position model. Lineage: Eukaryota; Fungi; Glomeromycota. The record is from RNAcentral.